RNAcentral lists this ribosomal RNA (430 nucleotides) under uncultured bacterium. RNAcentral describes it as "bacterial SSU rRNA". It matches the Rfam family "Bacterial small subunit ribosomal RNA", at positions 34 to 507 of the family's 1533-position model. The record is from RNAcentral.
CGCUGGCGGUGUGCUUCACACAUGCAAGUCGAACGAGGUAGCAAUACCUAGUGGCGGACGGGUGAGUAACGCGUGGGAAUCUGCCUUUAGAUGGGGGAUAACGGGUCGAAAGACUCGCUAAUACCGCAUAUGACGAAAGUUGAAAGGAGUAAUCCGUCUAAAGAUGAGCCCGCGUCCGAUUAGCUAGUUGGUAGAGUAAAAGCCUACCAAGGCGACGAUCGGUAGCUGGUCUGAGAGGAUGAUCAGCCACAAUGGGACUGAGACACGGCCCAUACUCCUACGGGAGGCAGCAGUGGGGAAUUUUACGCAAUGGGCGAAAGCCUGACGUAGCGACACCGCGUGAGCGAAGAAGCCCCUUGGGGUGUAAAGCUCUGUCAGCUGGAACGAAAAAAUGACGGUACCAGCAGAGGAAGCAUCGGCUUACUACGUG